Phycodurus eques (leafy seadragon) is the source of this 3269-nucleotide long non-coding RNA. RefSeq lists it as uncharacterized. The record is from RefSeq and is a predicted model, not a curated record. Lineage: Eukaryota; Metazoa; Chordata; Actinopteri; Syngnathiformes; Syngnathidae. The transcript is spliced from 3 exons.
UAAACGGAGAGUGGGCAGUUGCACGUGCGACUGAUGCCAGCUCGCGCAGUGAAAAUGUACGUUGUUAGUGAGACCUCACUCCACGAGAGCCGCACUCUUGUCCCGUUGGCUCGUGCACUCGUCUCGCAACGUGGGUCGGAGCCGCACCCUCACAAAAUGCGUUUCCUGACUUUUUGUGCGACGAGAGUGAAAAAUUAAUGAGGAUUAAAGUAACAGCAGCAAUGCUAUUAGAUCAGCCACAAAUAUUUGUUUACGGAACUGCUAGAGAAGCAAAGAUGUCACCCUAUGUUGCUGCCUCUUCUGGAAGAAAGUGUUCACUACAGCCAUUUGCAUCCUUUUUGCAAAGUCUACCACCAUCUGAAGUUCCUUUCCUAGAUGCCGUACUUACCCAUCACUUCUUCAUCACCCCUAUUUCCUUCACCAACAUGUCCAUUACAAUCUGCACCAAUCACGACUCUUUCUCUGUCUGGGAUGCUCAGAACUACUUCGUCUAAAUCCUUCCAGAAUUUCUCUUUCACCUCUAGGUCACAUCCUAACCUGUGGGGCAUAGCCACUAAUCACAUUAUACAUAACACCAUCAAUUUCAAGUUUCAGCCUCAUCACUUGGUCUGAUACUCUUUUCACCUCCAAGACAUUCUUAGCCAACUCUUCUUUUAAAAUAACCCAGACUCCAUUUCUCUUCCCAUCUAUACCAUGGUAAAAUAAUUUAAAGCCUGCCCCUAAACUUCUAGCCUUACUGCCUUUCCACCUGCUCUCCUGUACACACAAUAUAUCAACCGUUCUCCUAAUCAUCAUGUCAACCAACACCUGAGAUUUUCCUGUCAUAGUCCCAACAUUCAAAGUCCCCACAUCCAAUUCUAGGCUCUGUGCUUUCCUCUUCUCUUUCUGCCUAAGAACCCGCUUUCCAACUCUUCUUCUUCUUCGACUUCGACCCACAGUAGCGGAAUUUCCACCGGCACCCUGCAGUUUAACGGACGGGCGGACGUUGUUAACCCGAGCCACGACCGAUCCGGUGCUGCAUGUAUAAAUACAUAUUUUAAUCAGAACUCACUCCUGUGAUGACCGCUGCUCUGGACCAGCUCACAGACACGAGAAGAAAGGACAGCAGCACCGCUUGGAAGAAGCUCAUGACGGACAACGGAUCCAGCAGUCACUGGAGCUCCUCUCCUGUCUCCUGUCUCCUGUCUUUAUCCACUCGGGUUCCCUCACCUCACCUCACUUCCCGCCCGCCCACUCCAUGUGUGAGGGACCCCACGCCACGCCAGAGCCGCCUCAUCAGAUGCUCCCCGCCAAUGGCACGAAUCCACACGCUGAUGGAUGGAUAUCUUUGGCUCUUGCGUGAGUUUUUCCACAUAUCUGUUAAUAGAAAAUUGGAAAAAAAUAUAUGAAAAAGCUCAACAUAACAGAAGAUAGAAAAGUCUACAAACCCCUGUUCAAAGGCCAGGCUUUUGUAAAGUAAAACAAUCAGACCAAUAUAAGUCACUUCAAAACUUAUCCCACCAUUAUCGUGAGCUAACCUGCACAGCUCAAAAUAAAGAAUUGAGAUCAUGUGGUUGCAUAAGUAUGCACACCCUCUUACGGUAUAACUGGGAUGUCGUUUAAAGUGUCUCUGAUUAACCCCAAAUAAAGGUCAGAUGUUCUAGUUGGUCUUUCAGUGAUUUUUAUUUUUAUUUAUGUUUUGGUCUCUAUCAGAAGCAAAAAGGUUUUGUGCUAACACUGCUAUUUUCGACUGUUCAUAAUUCCUUCCACCUUGGCUAAGGCCCCAAUUCCCAGCUGGCCCAAAGCAUGAUUCACUGUUGGUAUGCUGUUCUUUUAUGGACUAAACGCUUGGCGUUUGUUUCCAUAAUACAUUUUCCCACAUACGUUUGGGAAAUGUUGUGGUCCAACGAAACCAAGGUUGAACGUUUUGGUCAUAAUUCCCAAAGAUAUGUUAGAUGCAAUCACAACACUGCUCAUCACCAAAAGAACACCAUACUGUGAAGCAUGGUGGUGGCAGCAAUGUACUUUGGGGCUGUUUUUCUUAGGCCUUAGACAAGGUGGAAUGAAUUAUGAACUGUUCAAAAAAGCAAUGUUAGCACAAACCUUGAGGCUUCUGCUACAAAGCAAAACAAUUGGGGAUAACCAAUAGCACUUUAAAUGUUGGCAGCUAUGUAAUAGGUCCCAUUUAACAUGUUGUUAACUUCAGUUUCAAUUUGAUUGGUUAAUUGUGAACACAGCAACAUCCCGGUUAAAAGAGGAUGUGCACUACUUGUGCAACAACAUUGUUUAUUUUUGACUUCCCUUUCCGAAAAGAUUUCAUUUUUAUUUCAAUAGAGUUAUACUGUAGCUUAUAGAUCACAAUAACAAGUAAAAAAGUUUUGAAAUUAUUUAUCUUGGUCUAAUUUUUUUUAAUCACAAUUUGAAUAGAGGCGUUUAGACUUAUUCUAUUUACUGUAUGAUGCCAUGUCCAAGCAUCCCUGAUGAAUCACACACUCAGAGCAGAAAAGGGCCGGGAAAACGUAUUGGUGGUCUGUGAGAACAAUGAAAAACUAUCAUCUCAUUACUGUACACUGUACUGUACGUGUGCCACAGUAUAUAUUAAAUUCAGUAAUAUUCAACAAUGAAAGAAAAAAAAAUCCGCAAUGAAAGAAAAAAAAAUUCGUCUUGUGUGGAAUGUCACACGACCAAACCCAGAAAACAGGUUAGUGGACUUACUGUGUGUGCAGCCAAACUACGAUAUCGAGGGGCUGAUGACAUGAUGGUUUGAACUCGCACUUGCUAGAAUAUUAAUUUCUUUACAAGACAUCUUGUGUGAAACAAAAUACAAGGUAGAUGUUUAAAGUUCUUAAGGGUGCUUUGUCACAUUCUCCUGCCAUAGGGCUCCGCUUGUUACCCGAGCCGAAAAGGAAGUGCUUUGUCAUAUUUGGCCCAAUGCGGAAGUUGCUUGCGCAUGUACUCUAUCGGACUGGGAGAUGUUCAAUAUCUGUGCUAAAAUCUGCAACAUUGUUCCUUUAUAUUAGUAAUUUGCUGAAUUUCAUACUUUCAUUUAUUUUGUCUGUUUCAUUAAAAUUAUUUACGGUAAAAUGUAGCUAAAAUCUGCAAAACAUGCAUUAUAUACUGUAUUUUUGUUAUUAAUCUUUUGUUAAUUUUCUUUUAAAAUUUGUAUAAAGCAGUGUUCAUUUCUGCUAAAAUAUGCCCAAUUUCUAUUUUUUAUAACAUUAUUUUCUUUGUUCUCUUGAAUGUAUUGUUAAAUAUUUACCAUAAAUUAUGUCGUGUAAUCUGUUAUUUUG